AUACGUAGGUGGCAAGCGUUGUCCGGAAUUAUUGGGCGUAAAGCGCGCGCAGGUGGUUCCUUAAGUCUGAUGUGAAAGCCCCCGGCUCCACCGGGGAGGGUCAUUGGAAACUGGGGAACUUGAGUGCAGAAGAGGAUAGGGGAAUUCCAAGUGUAGCGGUGAAAUGAGUAGAGAUUUGGAGGAACACCAGUGGCGAAGGCGACUGUCUGGUCUGUAACUGACACUGAGGCGCGAAAGCGUGGGGAGCAAACAGGAUUAGAUACCCUGGUAGUCCACGCCGUAAACGAUGAGUGCUAAGUGUUGGGGGGUUUCCGCCCCUCAGUGCUGCAGCUAACGCAUUAAGCACUCCGCCUGGGGAGUACGGUCGCAAGACUGAAACUCAAAUGAAUUGACGGGG
This 397-nucleotide ribosomal RNA is filed under the name uncultured bacterium. Its description in RNAcentral is "partial 16S ribosomal RNA". It matches the Rfam family "Bacterial small subunit ribosomal RNA", at positions 523 to 918 of the family's 1533-position model. The record is from RNAcentral.